GACGAACGCUGGCGGCGUGCUUAACACAUGCAAGUCGAACGAAGAGCGAUGGAAGCUUGCUUCUAUCAAUCUAGUGGCGAACGGGUGAGUAACGCGUAAUCAACCUGCCCUUCAGAGGGGGACAACAGUUGGAAACGACUGCUAAUACCGCAUACGAUCUAAUCUCGGCAUCGAGGAUAGAUGAAAGGUGGCCUCUACAUGUAAGCUAUCACUGAAGGAGGGGAUUGCGUCUGAUUAGCUAGUUGGAGGGGUAACGGCCCACCAAGGCGAUGAUCAGUAGCCGGUCUGAGAGGAUGAACGGCCACAUUGGGACUGAGACACGGCCCAGACUCCUACGGGAGGCAGCAGUGGGGAAUCUUCCGCAAUGGACGAAAGUCUGACGGAGCAACGCCGCGUGAGCGAUGACGGCCUUCGGGUUGUAAAGCUCUGUUAAUCGGGACGAAAGGCCUUCUUGCGAAUAGUGAGAAGGAUUGACGGUACCGGAAUAGAAAGCCACGGCUAACUACGUG
Molecule: ribosomal RNA, 509 nt
Filed under: uncultured bacterium
Lineage: Bacteria
Description: partial 16S ribosomal RNA
Rfam family: Bacterial small subunit ribosomal RNA
Source: RNAcentral